Molecule: ribosomal RNA, 253 nt
Filed under: uncultured bacterium
Lineage: Bacteria
Description: partial 16S ribosomal RNA
Rfam family: Bacterial small subunit ribosomal RNA
Source: RNAcentral
UACGUAGGGUGCAAGCGUUAAUCGGAAUUACUGGGCGUAAAGCGAGUGUAGGCGGCUUGGCAAGUCGGAUGUGAAAGCCCCGGGCUCAACCCGGGAAGUGCACUCGAUACUGCUUAGCUUGAGUGUCGGAGAGGUUGGUGGAAUUCUCGGUGUAGAGGUGAAAUUCGUAGAUAUCGAGAGGAACAUCGGCGGCGAAGGCGGCCAACUGGACGAACACUGACGCUGAGACUCGAAAGCGUGGGGAGCGAACAGG